CCUGGCGGCACUAGCGCGGUGGUCCCACCCUGACCCCAUGCCGAACUCAGAAGUGAAACGCCGUAGCGCCGAUGGUAGUGUGGGGUCUCCCCAUGCGAGAGUAGGGAACUGCCAGGC
RNAcentral lists this ribosomal RNA (117 nucleotides) under Salmonella enterica subsp. enterica serovar Montevideo str. 316111868. The record is from RNAcentral. Lineage: Bacteria; Pseudomonadati; Pseudomonadota; Gammaproteobacteria; Enterobacterales; Enterobacteriaceae.